Molecule: ribosomal RNA, 462 nt
Filed under: uncultured bacterium
Lineage: Bacteria
Description: partial 16S ribosomal RNA
Rfam family: Bacterial small subunit ribosomal RNA
Source: RNAcentral
CUACGGGGUGCUCCAGUGGGGAAUAUUGCACAAUGGGCGCAAGCCUGAUGCAGCCAUGCCGCGUGUAUGAAGAAGGCCUUCGGGUUGUAAAGUACUUUCAGCGGGGAGGAAGGGAGUAAAGUUAAUACCUUUGCUCAUUGACGUUACCCGCAGAAGAAGCACCGGCUAACUCCGUGCCAGCAGCCGCGGUAAUACGGAGGGUGCAAGCGUUAAUCGGAAUUACUGGGCGUAAAGCGCACGCAGGCGGUUUGUUAAGUCAGAUGUGAAAGCCCCGGGCUCAACCUGGGAACUGCAUCUGAUACUGGCAAGCUUGAGUCUCGUAGAGGGGGGUAGAAUUCCAGGUGUAGCGGUGAAAUGCGUAGAGAUCUGGAGGAAUACCGGUGGCGAAGGCGGCCCCCUGGACGAAGACUGACGCUCAGGUGCGAAAGCGUGGGGAGCAAACAGGAUUAGAUACUGGUAGUC